GCGCCCUUAGCUCAGCUGGAUAGAGCGUCUGGCUACGAACCAGAAGGUCGGGAGUUCGAGUCUCUCAGGGCGCGCCA
RNAcentral lists this transfer RNA (77 nucleotides) under Acidobacteria bacterium 13_1_40CM_4_58_4. Its description in RNAcentral is "tRNA-Arg". It matches the Rfam family "tRNA". From Rfam's summary of the family: Transfer RNA (tRNA) molecules are approximately 80 nucleotides in length. Their secondary structure includes four short double-helical elements and three loops (D, anti-codon, and T loops). Further hydrogen bonds mediate the characteristic L-shaped molecular structure. tRNAs have two regions of fundamental functional importance: the anti-codon, which is responsible for specific mRNA codon recognition, and the 3' end, to which the tRNAs corresponding amino acid is attached (by aminoacyl-tRNA synthetases). tRNAs cope with the degeneracy of the genetic code in two manners: having more than one tRNA (with a specific anti-codon) for a particular amino acid; and 'wobble' base-pairing, i.e. permitting non-standard base-pairing at the 3rd anti-codon position. Lineage: Bacteria; Pseudomonadati; Acidobacteriota. The record is from RNAcentral. RNAcentral also lists the same sequence under 5 other names.